GAUGAACGCUGGCGGCGUGCUUAACACAUGCAAGUCGAACGGUGAAGCCAAGCUUGCUUGGUGGAUCAGUGGCGAACGGGUGAGUAACACGUGAGCAACCUGCCCUGGACUCUGGGAUAAGCGCUGGAAACGGCGUCUAAUACUGGAUAUGAGACGUGAUCGCAUGGUCAACGUUUGGAAAGAUUUUUCGGUCUGGGAUGGGCUCGCGGCCUAUCAGCUUGUUGGUGAGGUAAUGGCUCACCAAGGCGUCGACGGGUAGCCGGCCUGAGAGGGUGACCGGCCACACUGGGACUGAGACACGGCCCAGACUCCUACGGGAGGCAGCAGUGGGGAAUAUUGCACAAUGGGCGGAAGCCUGAUGCAGCAACGCCGCGUGAGGGAUGACGGCCUUCGGGUUGUAAACCUCUUUUAGCAGGGAAGAAGCGAAAGUGACGGUACCUGCAGAAAAAGCGCCGGCUAACUACGUGCCAGCAGCCGCGGUAAUACGUAGGGCGCAAGCGUUAUCCGGAAUUAUUGGGCGCAAAGAGCUCGUAGGCGGUUUGUCGCGUCUGCUGUGAAAUCCCGAGGCUCAACCUCGGGCCUGCAGUGGGUACGGGCAGACUAGAGUGCGGUAGGGGAGAUUGGAAUUCCUGGUGUAGCGGUGGAAUGCGCAGAUAUCAGGAGGAACACCGAUGGCGAAGGCAGAUCUCUGGGCCGUAACUGACGCUGAGGAGCGAAAGGGUGGGGAGCAAACAGGCUUAGAUACCCUGGUAGUCCACCCCGUAAACGUUGGGAACUAGUUGUGGGGACCAUUCCACGGUUUCCGUGACGCAGCUAACGCAUUAAGUUCCCCGCCUGGGGAGUACGGCCGCAAGGCUAAAACUCAAAGGAAUUGACGGGGACCCGCACAAGCGGCGGAGCAUGCGGAUUAAUUCGAUGCAACGCGAAGAACCUUACCAAGGCUUGACAUACACCAGAACGGGCCAGAAAUGGUCAACUCUUUGGACACUGGUGAACAGGUGGUGCAUGGUUGUCGUCAGCUCGUGUCGUGAGAUGUUGGGUUAAGUCCCGCAACGAGCGCAACCCUCGUUCUAUGUUGCCAGCACGUAAUGGUGGGAACU
This 1100-nucleotide ribosomal RNA is filed under the name uncultured bacterium. Its description in RNAcentral is "bacterial SSU rRNA". It matches the Rfam family "Bacterial small subunit ribosomal RNA", at positions 28 to 1139 of the family's 1533-position model. The record is from RNAcentral.